CGGCGACGCCGAGCGGAACCCGAAAGCCGUUCUCAGUUCGGAUCGGAGUCUGCAACCCGACUCCGUGAAGCUGGAUUCGCUAGUAAUCGCGCAUCAGCCAUGGCGCGGUGAAUACGUUCCCGGGCCUUGUACACACCGCCCGUCAAGCCAUGGGAGCCGGGGGUGCUUGAAGUGCGUCGCCGCGAGGCGCGCCCUAGAGCAAAACCGGUGACUGGGGCUAAGUCGUAACAAGGUAUC
This 237-nucleotide ribosomal RNA is filed under the name uncultured bacterium. RNAcentral describes it as "partial 16S ribosomal RNA". It matches the Rfam family "Bacterial small subunit ribosomal RNA", at positions 1255 to 1500 of the family's 1533-position model. The record is from RNAcentral.